CUUAGCAAUCUUCUUAGUACAAGGAUACGAGGAGGAAUCAUCGUGGAGCCCCGCCAAUUUGCCACUCCUUUCUCCGCUCCCCAUUCUCGCAGCGAUUCCUUAAAUACUCGAAUCAAAUUAUUCAGAGAGCGAGGAAAAGCUGGAAGCUUUGGGUAAUGUGCUAGUACGUUGCGAGAGUAAUGCUCCAUUGAUUCCCAACAUUCGCCCCGUUACGGAUUACGGCCAACCCAGUUGUUGAUAAUAAUAUUGAGGAGCUUGAUUUGUGGAAUUCAAUAAGUGACAAUUCUUCGAUGCAUGAGCUCCACCACACAAAGAACACCAUUGAAUUUGUGAUGGGAAAGUUUGAUGGGUGCUUUCUUGAAUAACUUUGAUGGAUGGUAUAUUGGGAUUACUAGUCGGACUGGUCAACCAAAAGGGCAUGUGUCACAUGGAUCGGCUCAUGAAAAUAACUGGAUCAAGAAAGCCCAAGAAGAACACCUAAUGCUAAUUGUAACUUAGGAGUUUAAUAGGGUUGUACUUAUUAUUCAUAAUGUAAUAUAGAUUAGGCAUGUUAUUCCCAGUAUAAUAAGAAUUGGACUCAUUGUCCUCCAAUGUAACAAGGACUCCCAAUAUGAGGCAAUGGGGUGAUUUCACUAU
Molecule: long non-coding RNA, 636 nt
Organism: Ipomoea triloba (trilobed morning glory)
Lineage: Eukaryota; Viridiplantae; Streptophyta; Magnoliopsida; Solanales; Convolvulaceae
Exons: 3
Source: RefSeq, a predicted model, not a curated record